GCUGCCUGAUUUAAAUAGAUUUUCCCUCAAAUAAACUCUUAACAUUUUUAAUAUGCCUCAGUUUAUCUCUUAACAGUCCUGCUGGUAGAAGAGAGCACAAAAGGGACCCCGACAGCCCUCAGAAGAAUGAGCAAGCAGGUGUUAGUGCCUCGCGCUCCCUGCUUUCUGGCUGCCUCUGGAGGUCAGAGUUUCUGGUGACCAGGAUGGGACCCACCGGGAUACUACUCCAACUCAGUCCAGAUUCCACGAACAGCAUCCUUGGAAAAUUGGCAGGAGCCAGCAACGAGUCCUAAAUGCAUACUCUCAGCCACCAGCAGUACAUCUUGCUUGCUGUUCCUGGAAGCACAGAAGCAAGAUGAACAAGAUGAACAGCAAAAACCCUUCUUCUAGGGAUCCGACAUCCUCACCUAAUGCAUACAACACCUUGGUGUUCAACCACACUGACCCCAGAGGACCCACCACUUUCCGACGCUACUGAUGUACUGAUGUCAUCUGUAGCUCACAGCUGCUUCCUGGUAUCUGUCUGACCUCUGGGAUAAAACAGGGCUUAGGAUGCUUUCUCAUUUACUCCAUGUCUUUACUUUUUUUCUCCAGAAGUAUGCUAAACUGAUAAAAAUCAACCAUGAGAUUACCUUGUAUUUUAGCACCAAGACUUCUCAGUUCUAGGCCUUAGAGGGUAAGCCCUUCAUUAUGGGUAACUGCACAAAUAAUAGCAAUUUAUUGGUAUAAAUUCCUUCUGGCCUGUCAGUAGAAAAUAUUUGGACUUUUUAUUAUUAUCAAUCAAAGUCACAAGUUUGAAAUUAGGAGCACAUGUAAAUUCAGCAAAUUUGAGUUCCUUUGUGUGUCAGUCCAGUGCUAGGUGCUUCCAUUUGGUCUCUCAUUUCAUCUCCUAAAAAUUCUUUGAGAUAAUUUCUCUUUCUACCAACUUUUUUUUUUUUCUUAUGAGAAAAAUAAUACCAAGAAUUUACCUGAUGUUGAGGGUCAAACAGUAACUAGCAGAGUUGUGAUUUGAAACUUAGGCUCCAAACGCUAACUUCACUCCUCUUUACACUAGAACAGUGAUUCCCAGAUCAGCAGCAUCAGCAUCUCCUGGGCAAUUCCUAGAAAUUAGUUCUCAGGUCUUGCCCCAGAUCUGGGGUUGACGGGGGGCAGACACCUGUGUACAUCCUCCAGAUAACGCAAGCUAAAGUCUGAGAACCAUUACACGACACAGUUGUGUACACAAAUGUAUGUAAUUUGGUCUACCCAGGUGGAUGGUUGAGUGAGUUAAAUGACUCUCAUCAUUGAAAAAC
This 1292-nucleotide long non-coding RNA is filed under the name Vulpes vulpes (red fox). RNAcentral's name for it is "lncRNA (ENSVVUG00000017197.1)". Lineage: Eukaryota; Metazoa; Chordata; Mammalia; Carnivora; Canidae. The record is from RNAcentral.